Anguilla rostrata (American eel) is the source of this 1831-nucleotide long non-coding RNA. RefSeq lists it as uncharacterized. The transcript is spliced from 3 exons. NCBI's taxonomy places the organism in Eukaryota, Metazoa, Chordata, Actinopteri, Anguilliformes, Anguillidae. The record is from RefSeq and is a predicted model, not a curated record.
GUCCAAACAUCACAUGAUUACUUACGUCACCGUUGAGUUUAGAGCGAUAUCGCAAUCUGAAUGUGUGUUUGACAUAAAUGCAAUGUUUUCCCCCACGACGUGAGGUUGUAAAACGAACUACCGUCGUGUUUGUUUUUGCACAUUCGAAUUUAAGAAAGCGUAGCUACCACAAUGCUAAUGUAUCAGUUUACGAUCAACGUUCUUAUGAACUGUCGCUAAUUUCCUGGCAAUAUGUGGAUUAGUUUCAACACCACGGCUUAAUUGAGUGUUGGUUACAAACGACACAGAAUAUUACCCUGCUGGAUUCCCACCUGCUCUGUAAUGGAAAGGAGUGGAGUCCCCUCAGCGUUGCUUUGGGAAUGGGGGAUGGUGAUGAGAGUAGCUUCCAGCCGCUUGUGAUAAGUUUUUCUGCAGAGGAAUUUCACUGUGGCUUUGCCAAAACAACAAUAUAGUUUGAAGCCCUGCCAGUGCUGUAUUCAAUUCCAGGCCUCGCUGGGGCAACUUCAAAGGGAUCGGCCUCUUGUUUUAGAAAGGGUAGGGGGGUACAGAACUCCAAAUUGGGCUGGGAGGCUGUGAGUCGGUCAACAAUAGGCCAGUAUCCUUCAGUAAGAGGAGUAGCAGUUUGAGGAAUCCUUCAUCAAGCUACCCCACUGUGGCCUCACACAUGAAUGGAUCAAAGAGGAGGAGUAAUAACAACAGCAUCCGAUCCAGGCCCUGGAGUGGGUCGCCCGAAGGAGACGAGAAACCAGAGAGAGGCAGGAUUGGGAAAAUAGAGGAGACCUCUGGUGCCCCCUGCCCCAAGUCCUGCCCUUGUCCCUCCCCACACACCCCUCAGGGGACCCACCUGGCUGAGUUAGUCAACCACAGGACAAUGUGGGCUGCUCUGACUGGAGAGGCUCUCCUGCUGAUGAGAGCCCCGGUGCCUGACACAGACAGGGACCCGGACAACGUGCGGGGAAAUCAGGCGCGGCGGCGGGAGCCUUGACCCCGUGACCCUUUGACCCCGCGACCCCGGAGCUGCCUGGCUCCUCUCGCUCUAAUGAGGAUAUUCACCUGAUGGGAAUUAUCAGUGUGUAAGCUGCUCAUUGCGCUGACAGUCUCGCGUCCUCUGAGAUCGCCGCAGUCUCCAGAAUCACAGCAACGCUGUUUGUGACACUGAGGUCUUCCAAUCAGUGUUGCUCUGUCAGUGUUGCGAGGACAAGAGCUGCUUCGCACGCGUGCAGAGCCUCCAGGAACACAGAACAGCCAGGCUCGCAGUCACCAUCUGCAGUCACAACGUCUGCACACUGUUACCAUCUACACAUCUAAUGCUAUUACAAUAGGGAACAAAAGGCCUGGCCAGUCAAAGAGAUGCGCUAGCACCCAGACCCAGGAAAGUAGAGACAGUUCUGCAGUAACCAGGUAAUCUUGUUAAAGCACACUCUGAAACUCAGUAUUUCCAGGAAGAAAAUGUCAUGAUGAGUAGGGUAGAACAUAAUGGUUAAAGUAGACCUGUAUUCAGUUAUUUUAAUACAUUGCCUUGUCCUUAUUGUAGAACAACUACAAUGGUACAUAUAUCUUUUUUCAGAUAUAAGAAUGAAUCAAGUUAAAAUAAUGAAAAUAUAUUUAGCUUUGCAACAAUCUAUUCAGAUAUUACUAUUAUUUCAGCCUGGGAAAGUGAGACCAUGGGGAAAACAAAAUAAUGGAUUAUUGUCUUACCUAAAAUGUAAUGUAGUAUUGAGGUUGCCAUUGCAAUGUAUAUGUCUAAUGCAUUUCCCAGAGAAGAUAAAUAAAACUCCCAAUCGCAUCCCUAUCUCUUGGUGGGAAGGGUCAUGAUUUGCUUCAUGUGAAA